AACGAACGCUGGCGGCAUGCCUAACACAUGCAAGUCGAACGAGACCUUCGGGUCUAGUGGCGCACGGGUGCGUAACGCGUUGGAACCUGCCCUUAGGUUCGGAAUAACUCCCCGAAAGGGGUGCUAAUACCGGAUAAUGUCUUCGGACCAAAGAUUUAUCGCCUUUGGAUGGGCCCGCGUUGGAUUAGCUAGUUGGUAGGGUAAAAGCCUACCAAGGCGACGAUCCAUAGCUGGUCUGAGAGGAUGAUCAGCCACACUGGGACUGAGACACGGCCCAGACUCCUACGGGAGGCAGCAGUGGGGAAUAUUGGACAAUGGGCGAAAGCCUGAUCCAGCAAUGCCGCGUGAGUGAUGAAGGCCUGAGGGUUGUAAAGCUCUUUUACCCGGGAUGAUAAUGACAGUACCGGGAGAAUAAGCUCCGGCUAACUCCGUG
This 433-nucleotide ribosomal RNA is filed under the name uncultured bacterium. RNAcentral describes it as "partial 16S ribosomal RNA". It matches the Rfam family "Bacterial small subunit ribosomal RNA", at positions 29 to 507 of the family's 1533-position model. The record is from RNAcentral.